CGUACACUCCUGCGGGAGGCAGCAGUGGGGAAUCUUGCGCAAUGGGCGAAAGCCUGACGCAGCCAUGCCGCGUGAAUGAUGAAGGUCUUAGGAUUGUAAAAUUCUUUCACCGGGGACGAUAAUGACGGUACCCGGAGAAGAAGCCCCGGCUAACUUCGUGCCAGCAGCCGCGGUAAUACGAAGGGGGCUAGCGUUGCUCGGAAUUACUGGGCGUAAAGGGAGCGUAGGCGGACAUUUAAGUCAGGGGUGAAAUCCCGGGGCUCAACCUCGGAAUUGCCUUUGAUACUGGGUGUCUUGAGUAUGAGAGAGGUGUGUGGAACUCCGAGUGUAGAGGUGAAAUUCGUAGAUAUUCGGAAGAACACCAGUGGCGAAGGCGACACACUGGCUCAUUACUGACGCUGAGGCUCGAAAGCGUGGGGAGCAAACAGGAUUAGAAACCCGUGUAGUCCCAU
This 452-nucleotide ribosomal RNA is filed under the name uncultured organism. RNAcentral describes it as "partial 16S ribosomal RNA". It matches the Rfam family "Bacterial small subunit ribosomal RNA", at positions 330 to 798 of the family's 1533-position model. The record is from RNAcentral.